Molecule: long non-coding RNA, 1070 nt
Organism: Syzygium oleosum
Lineage: Eukaryota; Viridiplantae; Streptophyta; Magnoliopsida; Myrtales; Myrtaceae
Exons: 3
Source: RefSeq, a predicted model, not a curated record
GAUAGACAGCUGGGGGCCUCCAGUUGUCCGUCCCCAACAGCCCUAACGGAUUUGGGAGGCAUUUGGAGCCCAAAACUGUCCCCGUGAGGUGGACAAAAAUAGAAAAAAAAAUCAGUUCCCAAAGCAGAGAACGUGCUCGACGAAAAUCCAAAGAAAGAGAGAGAGAAAACCAGAGAGAAAGGAGAGAAAACUGAGGAUAAGGGAGGUAGAGGUCCCCAAAGCUAAGUGACCGGCGCCGGCAAAUCAGACCUUUAUGGUGGAUCUCCUUCCCAGAUGACCAGGAAAAGGUUGAUCGUGAGGCUCUGAAACCGAGUCUCGAACGACCAGUUCAAGACCUUCCCGGCGAGGCAGAGGUCACCAACUCGAAGAGGAGGUGUCAGAGGAGCAUCCCAUAGCCACCAUUUGAUUCGAAAAAUCGGAUUUGGCCUCCAAUGGCGAAGUUUCUUGAGGAUUCAGCCGAGAGCAAUGAGCCACCACCAAUCCAAGUCCACUAGUCCGAGACCAUCACCUCUCCUAAGGUGGCUUCUGCGUUGUUCACCGUGACCGAGCAUCAAUCGACAUCCCUCGUUGCUUCCUUUACAUCCUUUGUUAGUCUUAAUUAAGGGUUGAGAUGAGCGGCAAGUCAACAUUAGUUUGCCUUUUCCACUGUGGAAAUUUUGUCCGAUGCCCAAUGCUUGACUAUGUUGGGGGAAGAUGUUGAGUUACUUGAAUAGCUUAGUAAUAUCCAUCGUUCAUCAGGUCACAAAAGGAGGAGAUGCAAAUAGUGAUCGGUUGCCUGAAGAUCUUAACAAGGGAAAGCUUAGCAGAUACAUAGAAGAUAAUAGGUUUGCUAAAAUCGAACCAAGCGCCAGGUAGCCAAAGGCCCAUCGGCAGUGCUGCCUAGGUCCACUGUUGACUUAGAAUCAGAUGGUGAAUGACCGAAUCUGCAAUGGGAUCACAUCUUCCUUUAAAAGCAGGAAGCUUAUUGGUGAGCAUUUAAAGCGUAUUUGAGGGGAAAUACAAGGAGAUCACCCUAGUGAAUGCCUCUUGACUUAUAAAUACGUGCUUUGUAUAGUGUAGUUUUAUACACA